GACGAACGCUGGCGGCGUGCUUAACACAUGCAAGUCGAGCGGUAAGGCCCUUUCGGGGGUACGACGAGCGGCGAACGGGUGAGUAACACGUGGGUGACCUGCCCUCAGCUCUGGGAUAAGCCUGGGAAACCGGGCCUAAUACCGGAUAUGACUCCAUGACGCAUGUUGUGGGGUGGAAAGCCUUGUGCGGCUGAGGAUGGGCCCGCGGCCUAUCAGCUUGUUGGUGGGGUGAUGGCCUACCAAGGCGACGACGGGUAGCCGGCCUGAGAGGGCGACCGGCCACACUGGGACUGAGACACGGCCCAGACUCCUACGGGAGGCAGCAGUGGGGAAUCUUGCGCAAUGGGCGAAAGCCUGACGCAGCGACGCCGCGUGAGGGAUGACGGCCU
RNAcentral lists this ribosomal RNA (389 nucleotides) under uncultured bacterium. RNAcentral describes it as "bacterial SSU rRNA". It matches the Rfam family "Bacterial small subunit ribosomal RNA", at positions 28 to 417 of the family's 1533-position model. The record is from RNAcentral.